This 435-nucleotide ribosomal RNA is filed under the name uncultured Clostridium sp. Its description in RNAcentral is "partial 16S ribosomal RNA". It matches the Rfam family "Bacterial small subunit ribosomal RNA", at positions 341 to 792 of the family's 1533-position model. Lineage: Bacteria; Bacillati; Bacillota; Clostridia; Eubacteriales; Clostridiaceae. The record is from RNAcentral.
ACGGGAGGCAGCAGUGGGGAAUAUUGCACAAUGGGGGGAAACCCUGAUGCAGCGACGCCGCGUGAGCGAUGAAGUAUUUCGGUAUGUAAAGCUCUAUCAGCAGGGAAGAUAAUGACGGUACCUGACUAAGAAGCCCCGGCUAACUACGUGCCAGCAGCCGCGGUAAUACGUAGGGGGCAAGCGUUAUCCGGAUUUACUGGGCGUAAAGGGAGUGUAGGUGGUUGGCAAGCCAGAUGUGAAAGCCCGGGGCUCAACCCCGCGGACUGCAUUUGGAACUGUUAAACUUGAGUGCAGGAGAGGAAAGUGGAAUUCCUAGUGUAGCGGUGAAAUGCGUAGAUAUUAGGAGGAACACCAGUGGCGAAGGCGGCCUGCUGGACGACAACUGACGCUGAGGCGCGAAAGCGUGGGGAGCAAACAGGAUUAGAUACCCUGGGA